UAAGGAAUAUUGGUCAAUGGACGCAAGUCUGAACCAGCCAUGCCGCGUGAAGGAUGAAGGUCCUCUGGAUUGUAAACUUCUUUUAUCUGGGACGAAAACGGGAUUUUUAUCUCAAUUGACGGUACCAGAGGAAUAAGCACCGGCUAACUCCGUGCCAGCAGCCGCGGUAAUACGGAGGGUGCGAGCGUUAUCCGGAUUUACUGGGUUUAAAGGGUGCGUAGGUGGGCUUAUAAGUCAGUGGUGAAAUCUCCGAGCUUAACUUGGAAACUGCCGUUGAUACUAUAGGUCUUGAAUUAUCUGGAGGUAAGCGGAAUAUGUCAUGUAGCGGUGAAAUGCUUAGAUAUGACAUAUAACACCAAUUGCGAAGGCAGCUUACUACAUAUAAAUUGACGCUGAGGCACGAAAGCGUGGGGAUCAAACA
RNAcentral lists this ribosomal RNA (421 nucleotides) under uncultured bacterium. Its description in RNAcentral is "bacterial SSU rRNA". It matches the Rfam family "Bacterial small subunit ribosomal RNA", at positions 355 to 774 of the family's 1533-position model. The record is from RNAcentral.